UACAAUUGAGACAGGUGGUGCAUGGUUGUCGUCAGCUCGUGUCGUGAGAUGUUGGGUUAAGUCCCGCAACGAGCGCAACCCUUGUGUUUAGUUGCAAACAAGGUCAAGCUGUGCACUCUAGACAGACUGCCGUGGACAACACGGAGGAAGGUGGGGAUGACGUCAAAUCAUCAUGCCCCUUAUGAUCUGGGCUACACACGUGCUACAAUGGCCGGUACAACGGGCAGCGAAGGAGCGAUCCGGAGCGAAUCCUAAAAAGCCGGUCCCAGUUCGGAUUGCAGGCUGAAACUCGCCUACAUGAAGUUGGAGUUGCUAGUAAUCGCGAAUCAGAAUGUCGCGGUGAAUGCGCUCCCGGGUCUU
RNAcentral lists this ribosomal RNA (360 nucleotides) under uncultured Fusibacter sp. RNAcentral's name for it is "bacterial SSU rRNA". It matches the Rfam family "Bacterial small subunit ribosomal RNA", at positions 1024 to 1382 of the family's 1533-position model. The record is from RNAcentral. Lineage: Bacteria; Bacillati; Bacillota; Clostridia; Eubacteriales; Fusibacteraceae.